Hirundo rustica (Barn swallow) is the source of this 2470-nucleotide long non-coding RNA. RefSeq lists it as uncharacterized. The transcript is spliced from 9 exons. NCBI's taxonomy places the organism in Eukaryota, Metazoa, Chordata, Aves, Passeriformes, Hirundinidae. The record is from RefSeq and is a predicted model, not a curated record.
CGGCGGCGUGGGACGGCGUGCGCGAGUCACUCCUCGUGCGCUCGCGCCCUCCCAGUGUUCAGGGCAGCCGUGUGUUCAGAAGAGAUUAAGAAAGGAGAAAUUCCCUGGUGCGGAGCCCCUUCAGCUUUAGCUGCACGGUGCUGAGGUGAGAGCAGGAGAGGAGGCUGGUGGGUGUUUGCCUUCUGAAGAAAGAGACUUUACAUCUCCUGAAAGCCUAAGAAAUCCAUAUGGCAAAAACACCCCGCUGUGAGACCGAGCAGAGUGAAACCCAUGCAGGGUAAUGGAUUCAUCCCUAACUCAGCCUCUUCUGAAUGCUUUGCGCAGGGGACACGGUCGUGCCGCUGAACGCCACCCCCCAUCUGUUCUUGGGCUGCACGUGGGAUUUUCUUGGAGGGGUUUUUGAUGGAGAGAAGAGCAAAAGUAACUUAGCGUUCAAGAAAUGUUGCUUACGGUCCACAACAAUGCAAUGGACAGACCCGGGAGCAGGAAUUUUAAAAUACAACCUUCAAAUACUUUGGAAUGUGAGUGGCUUUAUUUACUUGAAACAGCCGCAUCCAAACCGAUCAGGUCAUGUGAAAAAGUGAAGGUGCCUCAGCAAGUGUGCAGUGUGCAGCAGAACAGGACUCUUCCCAGGACUUCGGAAUGAUGAGUCUGCUCUUCUCUUUGAAUGAAAGCCCUUUCUUCCUUAGUCCAUUGAUCUCUGAUUCUAGAGAUGGCAAUAAUUCAGGAAGAGGCCUCAGAGAUGUAGAGCACUUGGCCCUAUCCCAGGGUGUUCCUUCUGCUUUUGGCAAUGGAUCUGACCACUAGCAUCCUUCUGAAGUGAGUGUGACCCAGAACACAGGAACUCCUCCUUCUUCUUGGGUGUCCCUCCAGGAGCAGAGUAAGUGCCCUGUGCAGCAGCAGCAAGGCAGACACUGGCACACAGUCCAGCGGGGUCUCAGCCUACCAGCUCUUCUGUGUCUUUUCUCAGAACCUUAGCACUCACCGUGGGGAAAACGAGAGGUACAUAAAGCAUUUCACUGUUUGCAAAAUCAGAUGUGAUCUCUCUGUGGCAUCAUCGGCCUCUGGCUCAUCUUGUGCUCGGAACCUCAGGUCCAUAAGGCAUUUACACUGUUUGCUACACAUUUCCUGGAACUAUGUCAUGUAGAUGCUUUAUACCCCCACGUUCAAAACUUCCAUUUUGAAGUGCAGUACGUGAGAAGCAGGGCUGGAAAUAAGGAGAAAAUCGUUUACGCUUACACUCUCUAAAGGAUGCACGGAGGAAAAGAACUCGGAACUGGGUAUUACCUUUCUCCCCAGUGUGAGGUGGUAUUCCAUGGAUUGUUGGGAUUGCACAUUGGGUGUUGAAGGGCUCUGGCAUCUCUUUCUCCCUAAUGGAAGAGUGAGGAAACGGGGAUGCUGCUGCCUGUCAGAGAUGUGGGAACAGCCCAGUUCCAGAGAGGACAGCUCACGGUGUGUGCCCCGAGAUGGUCUUUACUGUUAUUGUGUCCUUAAAGCCUGUUGGAUUGCUGGCCUGGAUUUAGGAGGAGCCAAGUAGCCUGGAGUCGUCAGUGUGUUUUUUCCUGUCAGAAAUCCAUUAUGGGGAUGUUUCCCGGGCUGUCCUAAUGGGAAGAAGCAGCUUUGAAGUUCUUGCAGCCACAGGCUGUGGAUGCGUCCUCGGAAAAGUGGCUCAGGAUUGUUCAUCUGACUCUGCCCCUGACCCAUGGCUACCAGGGAGCCUCCUGGUGUUCUGGAUACUCCACCACCUGCUAUUUAAGGCAGGAAUUACUCCAAACUCAGUAAGUCAGUCGCAUUUUAUGUGAGCUGUCCUGAUGGGAGGACGGAAGAGGGACCAAACGCCCCACACUGCUGUUUGAGACAUUCCCAACUGGAGCUGGGGCCAUCUGGGCGUUUUGGAGUGCUGAGACCACAAGGUCAGCGUUGAACAGCGUCCCCAGGGAAUGCUGAGGCAUGCCAUGCCUGUGGCACUUGGCAACACGUACCUGAUGUGGAGCAAAAAGAAGAGAGGGGAAAUUCUGGGUUAAUGGAAGGAAUGGAAUUGGGGUUCCUGGAACUGAAUUGGGAUAGGUGCCGAUCAUAUCACGGAGUCAUGGGGUGUUUUGGCUUGGAAAGGACCACGAAGACUCUCUGGACUCUGUUGUCCCAUCCCACGGCAAAGGACACGUCCAAAAGUGCCUCCUGAACCUCGUGGAGUGGCAACAGCUGCUGGGAGCUCUGGCAGGAGGACCUGCAGACCAGUGGUUUUCUAGGCCUUGAGGGUAAUUCCAAGAAUUUGGAAGUUGUUGGAAUAGAGUGAGGGAAAUAUGUGAACCUGAUCCAUUUCAAGUAAUUCUGGACUUCUCCCCCAACACCACUCUAAGGGAAAGCUGCAGGUAAAGAUGGGUAAAGGGUAAAGAUGCAGAGGAGCAAGUGUUGUAAACCCUCCUGGCUGUCCGACAGAGCCAACCUUUCUGCAGUCCCACUAAAUCUC